RNAcentral lists this ribosomal RNA (468 nucleotides) under uncultured bacterium. RNAcentral's name for it is "partial 16S ribosomal RNA". It matches the Rfam family "Bacterial small subunit ribosomal RNA", at positions 28 to 507 of the family's 1533-position model. The record is from RNAcentral.
GACGAGCGCUGGCGGCGUGCUUAACACAUGCAAGUCGAACGGAAAGGCCCUGCUUUUGUGGGGUGCUCGAGUGGCGAACGGGUGAGUAACACGUGAGUAACCUGCCCUUGACUUUGGGAUAACUUCAGGAAACUGGGGCUAAUACCGGAUAGGAGCUCCUGCUGCAUGGUGGGGGUUGGAAAGUUUCGGCGGUUGGGGAUGGACUCGCGGCUUAUCAGCUUGUUGGUGGGGUAGUGGCUUACCAAGGCUUUGACGGGUAGCCGGCCUGAGAGGGUGACCGGCCACAUUGGGACUGAGAUACGGCCCAGACUCCUACGGGAAGCAGCAGUGGGGAAUAUUGCACAAUGGGCGGAAGCCUGAUGCAGCAACGCCGCGUGCGGGAUGACGGCCUUCGGGCUGUAAACCGCGUUCGCCUGUGACGAAGCGUGAGUGACGGUAAUGGGUAAAGAAGCACCGGCUAACUACGUG